ACAAACAGACUUUGUACAGAGCACAGAGCCUGAUGCAGGGCUUGAUCUCUCGACCCUGAGAUCAUGACCUGAGCUGAAAUCAAGAGCCAGACACUUAACUAGCUGAGCCACCCAGGCGCCCCAAGAUAAAACAUUUAAAUAGAAUACUUCAUUUGCCUACUUUCCGUAGUGCACAGCAGGGUUCUAGGCUAGACUCUGGUAAUGUUAGUGAUAAGGGCCUCACUAACAACUAAAUUGUAAGGUAUAUGUUCAGAAAUAUACUCAUUGGGAGUUUAGGCUUUGAAGACAAACAGGCCUGCAUUCAUACAUCUGUCUGUGUAAUACACCCUGUGUUACAUACACCUCAGCAGCUUUCUGACUGGGUAACAUUGAGUGUAUGGUUAAUUGAUUCUCAGAUUUCUCAACUAUAAGCUGGUUGUAAUAAUACCUGAUUUGCAGAGCUUCUAUGAAAGAAAAGCUCUUUGCAAGAUCAUUCUCACAUCAUGGUUGCUUAAAUGGCACGUUAUUAAUUUAGUAAAGAAUGUUGUGAUUUUUUCAGUUUUAAAAUAUACUACUUGAUCCACUGCAUGGAAAAAACUUGUGUUUUCAUUAUUUUAAAUUUAUGUAAUAGAGGGCGCCUGGGUGGCUCAGUUGGUUAAGCGACUGCCUUCGGCUCAGGUCAUGAUCCUGGAGUCCUGGGAUCAAGUCCCACAUCGGGCUCCCUGCUCAGCAGGGAGUCUGCUUCUCCCUCUGACCCUCCUCCAUCUCGUCCUCUCAUUCUCUCUCUCGCAAAUAAAAAAAAAAAGAAAAAAAAAUUUAUGUAAUAGAGCUGCAGAUAUUACUAUCGGAGAUGACAUGUUGCUAACUUCACUUCAGGUAUUCUUGUUCUGCUCUUCUGUACUGUGUAGGCACAAUUUAGGAUGAGAGUCACAGCAUGGCAGUCUUCUCUACCUCCUAUGUGUGGAAUUCACUGUUGAUAUCUGUUGAUGCUUUUUUGCAAAAAUCAAGUUUCAGAGGCCCUGCAGACCAUGGAGGGGAGGGUUCAGUGGUCAGGGGCUGAGCAGUAAUUCCUGUUAGCUGCCAGUGGUGCAGAAGUAAGAAAUACUGGGAGUGGAGCCCCCAGAAGUUGCAUCUAUAAAUGCUUUUUUUGGAUUUGACACAGUGUCAAAGUUAUGGUUGCAGGCAUUGUCUGCUGUUUUUUGUAUUUCAUUAUCAUGGGAAAACUGACAGCUAAACUUUUUUAGAUUUCAGUUAACUUAGAACAUGGGACUCUUAACCUUUUUUAACCUUUUUUUUUUAAUUAGCAAGGACCCCAGCAAUGUUUUUUUAGCUCUAGAGGAGAUAAGAUUACUCCAUCUCCUUACAAGAUCAGUGUGUAUUUGGUUGGGUGUCUUGGGGGUAUGCUUUAUACGUGUGUGUGUGUGUGUGUGUGUGUGUUUUGAGGGGAGUGAUCCCUCAUAACGGAUAUGCUGCAACAUCCAGGCUCAUGAGUUGUGGAAAUUGUGGGGAGACCUGGAUUCUCGUGUUUUCUUUCUCCUGCCCCAGCUCUAACUUCUCAGUACUCUUGACUUUCUUCAUGAAGGGAACAUGGAAGAAGAAAGAAAAGUUGCAGAGUUACAGAAAAAUAUGACACAGGACUCUGUGGUCUUUGAGGAUGUGGCCGUGGACUUCACCCAGGAGGAGUGGGCUCUGCUAGAUUUUGCUCAGAGGAGCCUCUACAGAGAUGUGAUGCUGGAAAACUUUCAGAACCUGGCCUCCCUAGGGUAUCCAUUGCACACACCAUAUCUGAUCUCUCGGUGGAAACAAGAGGAGGACCUGGAGACAGUGGAAAGAGGACCUAUCCAGGGGGAACACCAGGAAGGUUUUGAGAUUCAACUUAAAACUAAUGAAUUAGUAGCUCCACAAGAUAUUUAUGGACAAAGAAUAUCCGGUGAACAGAAAAUAGUAAGGUUCAAAAGGAAUGAUUCUUGCUCAUCCAUUUUACACAAAAACUGGGAAUACCAUGGUAUUUGUUAUCAGAACAAAAACCAUGAGAGACAUUUGAGAAGUCCAGGUGUGGAGACCAUCUAUGAAUGUAAUGAAGAAAAUCAGUGUGGACAAGACUGCAGCCAAAUUUCACAUCUUAAUAUACUCAAGAGAACUACUGAAGUGAAGUCCUAUGAAUGCCAUGAGUGUAAGAAGGCCUUCACGGAUCAUUUAUCCCUUAAGAAUCACAUCAGGUCUCACACUGGAAGCAAACCCUAUCAAUGUAAAGAAUGUGGGAAAGCUUUCCAUUUUCUUGCUUGUUUUAAGAAGCAUGUGAAAAAUCCCACUGAAGGGAAACCUUACGAAUGUAAAGAAUGUACAAAAACCUUCGGUUGUUCUUCCUUCUUUAGGGCACAUAUGAAGAUUCACACUGGAAAGAUGAGCUAUGAAUGUAAGGAAUGUGGAAAAACCUUUAGCUGUUCUUCAUCCCUGACAGAACACAAAAGGAUUCACAGUGGAGAUAAGCCUUAUGAAUGUAGGGAAUGUGGGAAGGCGUUUAGCUGUUCUUCCUCACUCUCCAAACACAAAAGAAUUCACAGUGGAGAUAAGCCAUAUGAAUGUAAGGAAUGUGGGAAGGCCUUUAGUUCUUCCUCUCACCUUAUAAUACAUAUAAGAAUUCAUACUGGAGAGAAGCCUUACGAAUGUAAAGAGUGUGGGAAGGCCUUCAGCGAGUCCUCAAAACUCACUGUACACGUCAGAACACACACAGGAGAGAAACCCUAUAAAUGUAAGGAAUGUGGGAAAGCCUACAAUUGUCCCUCCUCCUUAAGUAUCCAUAUGAGAAAACACACUGGAGAGAAACCCUAUGAAUGCCUGGAAUGUGGAAAAGCCUUCUAUCUUCCCACUUCCCUUAAUACGCACGUGAAAAAUCAAAGUAGAGAGAAACCCUAUGAAUGUAAGGAAUGUGGAAAAGCCUUUAGUUGUCCCUCAUCCUUCAGAGCACACGUGAGAGAUCACACUGGAAAGAUACAAUAUGAAUGUAAGGAAUGUGGGAAGGCCUUUAGCCGUUCCUCAUCCCUCACUGAACACUUAAGAACUCACACUGGAGAGAAGCCUUAUGAAUGUAAAGAAUGUGGGAAAGCCUUUAUUAGUUCCUCCCACCUUAUAGUACAUAUAAGAACUCACACUGGAGAGAAACCUUACGAAUGUAAGAAAUGUGGCAAAGCCUUUAUUUAUCCCUCAGCUCUGAGGAUCCACAUGAGAACACAUACUGGGGAGAAACCCUAUGAAUGUAAGGAAUGUGGGAAAGCCUUUCGCCAUUCUUCAUACCUUACUGUCCAUGCAAGGAUGCACACUGGCGAGAAACCCUUCGAAUGUCUGGAAUGUGGGAAAGCCUUCAGUUGUCCCUCAUCCUUUCGAAGACAUGUAAGAAGCCACACUGGAGAGAAACCAUAUGAAUGUAAGGAAUGUGGAAAAGCCUUUGUGUGUCCUGCCUACUUUCGAAGACAUGUGAAAACUCACACUAGGGAAAAUGUAUAAAUGGUGUGAAAUGUGGGAACGUCUGCAAGGCGUUUUCACCUCACAGCAUAUCUGGAACGUUGUGGAGAUGCGCCAUGAAUAUAAGAAGGCAAGAAAGUGUUGCGUAUCUGUUUGACGACUUGAGAACUCACAGCUGAGAGAAACCUGUGUCUGUACACCUUGUGGGAAUGCCUUCAUGAAUGUCACUUCCGGCGUGCAAGAAAAUUCACACGAGAAGCACGGAUCAGGGCCUCACUUGUAAAGUGGACUGCUGGCUCAUUGAUAAUCGGUUUCUGUUUUCUGAUACGAAUAUUUAAGAACAUCCUUACCAAUUUUCACAAAUAUGCUGAGAGUGUGCUUGGAAUUGCAUUGACGAUGCCAUUACCUGAAUGAAAUUGACAUCUUUACAAGAUUGAGUCUUCCAAUGAAACAUAAUCAUCCAUUUACCUAGGUUGUCUUUAAUUUCUCUCAACAGUGUUUUGUAGUUUAAUUGUAGAGGACUUGAAUAUCUUUGUUUAAUUUAUUUCUAGGUAUGUGGUAUGUUUUGCUUUGUAAAUAUUUUUAUUUAUUUCCUGUUUAAUUUUUUAGCUAGCAUGAAUUGCAAUUUCUUUUUGUACAUUGAUCUUUUUAUCCAGUGACAUUUAUAAAUUAAAUUAUUAUUACUUGAAUUAUUCAAAUAGUUUGUGGAUUAUUUUGGAUUUUCUGUGUACAAUCCUGUCAAUAACAAAAGGAAGUCUUACUUGAUUUCUAAACUUUAUCUUUUUUUUUUUUUUUUGCCUCAUUGCUUUACAGUGAUGAAUAGAAAUGAUGAAAAUGAACAUCAUUGCUCUGUUCCUAAUCUUAGGGGAAAAUGUUCAAUAUUUCAUAAGUAUAAUAAUAGCUGUAAGUUUUUCAUAGAUUACUUUUAAAAACGAAGAGAACUGUUUUAUUCCCAGUUUGCCAAGUUUUUGUUUUUUUUUUUAAUUGUGAGUGAAUAUUUUAUCCAGUGCCUUCUCUGCAUGUAUUAUGGUCUUUAAAAAAACCCUUCAGUUUGUUAAUGUGAAUUACUACAUUCCUUGAUUUUCAGAUGGUAAAACAACAUGUCUUCCUGGAAUAAACCACACUUGGACGUGG
RNA transcript from Mirounga angustirostris (Northern elephant seal), 4575 nucleotides. It is a transcript of the gene named zinc finger protein 699, with no coding region annotated. The record is from RefSeq and is a predicted model, not a curated record. NCBI's taxonomy places the organism in Eukaryota, Metazoa, Chordata, Mammalia, Carnivora, Phocidae. The transcript is spliced from 6 exons.